GAUGAACGCUGGCGGCGUGCCUAAUACAUGCAAGUCGAGCGAACAGACGAGAAGCUUGCUCCUCUGAUGUUAGCGGCGGACGGGUGAGUAACACGUGGAUAACCUACCUAUAAGACUGGGAUAACUUCGGGAAACCGGAGCUAAUACCGGAUAAUAUUUUGAACCGCAUGGUUCAAUAGUGAAAGACGGUCUUGCUGUCACUUAUAGAUGGAUCCGCGCUGCAUUAGCUAGUUGGUAAGGUAACGGCUUACCAAGGCAACGAUGCAUAGCCGACCUGAGAGGGUGAUCGGCCACACUGGAACUGAGACACGGUCCAGACUCCUACGGGAGGCAGCAGUAGGGAAUCUUCCGCAAUGGGCGAAAGCCUGACGGAGCAACGCCGCGUGAGUGAUGAAGGUCUUCGGAUCGUAAAACUCUGUUAUUAGGGAAGAACAUAUGUGUAAGUAACUGUGCACAUCUUGACGGUACCUAAUCAGAAAGCCACGGCUAACUACGUG
RNAcentral lists this ribosomal RNA (497 nucleotides) under uncultured bacterium. RNAcentral describes it as "partial 16S ribosomal RNA". It matches the Rfam family "Bacterial small subunit ribosomal RNA", at positions 28 to 507 of the family's 1533-position model. The record is from RNAcentral.